UACGAAGGGUGCAAACGUUGCUCGGAAUCAUUGGGCGUAAAGCGCACGUAGGCGGCCCCAUAAGUCUGAUGUGAAAUCCCACGGCUCAACCGUGGAAGUGCAUCCGAAACUGCGGGGCUCGAGUAUGGAAGAGGGUCGCAGAAUUCCCGGUGUAGAGGUGAAAUUCGUAGAUAUCGGGAGGAAUACCAGUGGCGAAGGCGGCAUCCUGGACCAAUAUUGACGCUGAGGAGCGAAAGCCAGGGGAGCAAACGGG
This 253-nucleotide ribosomal RNA is filed under the name uncultured bacterium. Its description in RNAcentral is "partial 16S ribosomal RNA". It matches the Rfam family "Bacterial small subunit ribosomal RNA", at positions 524 to 776 of the family's 1533-position model. The record is from RNAcentral.